ACGCGAAAGUCCCCUUCGGGGGACGAGUAGAGUGGCGCACGGGUGAGUAACACGUAGGUAAUCUACCUUUGGAUGGGGAAUAACAACCGGAAACGGUUGCUAAUACCGCAUAAUGCAGCGGCACCUAAUGGUGACAGUUGUUAAAGCGGGGGAUCGAAAGACCUCGCGUCUAAAGAGGAGCCUGCGGCGGAUUAGCUAGUUGGUAAGGUAAUGGCUUACCAAGGCGAUGAUCCGUAGCCGGCCUGAGAGGGCGGUCGGCCACACUGACACUGACAUACGGGUCAGACUCCUACGGGAGGCAGCAGUCGGGAAUUUUGGGCAAUGGGCGAAAGCCUGACCCAGCAACGCCGCGUGAAGGAUGAAAUCCUUCGGGAUGUAAACUUCGCAAGAACGGGAAGAAUAAGUAAGAGCUAACAUCUCUUACGAUGACGGUACUGUUUGUAAGCUCCGGCUAACUCCGUGCCAGCAGCCGCGGUAAUACGGGGGGAGCAAGCGUUG
Molecule: ribosomal RNA, 498 nt
Filed under: uncultured bacterium
Lineage: Bacteria
Description: bacterial SSU rRNA
Rfam family: Bacterial small subunit ribosomal RNA
Source: RNAcentral